This is a long non-coding RNA of Oncorhynchus masou masou (cherry salmon), 325 nucleotides long. RefSeq lists it as uncharacterized. The transcript has 4 exons. NCBI's taxonomy places the organism in Eukaryota, Metazoa, Chordata, Actinopteri, Salmoniformes, Salmonidae. The record is from RefSeq and is a predicted model, not a curated record.
CCUUAUCACAACUAUCCUACCAAUACUCAAAGCACAAGGGAUUGGGGACCUGCCUCCUUAAGCCUUUCAUCAAAUUCAGUCAGUUUUGAGGACACCCAUCACACAAAUGACUGUCUCUUAAAGCAGCGUGAGAGCAACAGAGAUCAGGGUUUGGGUCGGUCAGUGGAAAAGGAGACGGAGGCGAAAGGUCGACAGAGCAGGAGCGCCACACCAUCGGUCAGCAAAUACUCCAGCUCAGAGUCAGAACACAGGGAACCACGUUUGAAUCCAGGAGCGAUGAGUGGUAACUCCACCCACACAACACACACGGGUAUAAACAAUGACG